Molecule: ribosomal RNA, 811 nt
Filed under: uncultured organism
Description: bacterial SSU rRNA
Rfam family: Bacterial small subunit ribosomal RNA
Source: RNAcentral
UGCGCAGAGAUGGCAAAGAACACUAAUGGUGUCGUCAGCUCCGUUGAGCAACUAUGACGCUGAGAGAAGACAGCUAGAGGAGCGAACAUGAUUAGAGACCUUAGUAGUCUUAGCCUUAAACUAUGUACGCUGGAUGUGGGGCCAUAGCGAUCCUUGUCGAAGCGAAUGCGUUCAGCAUCUCUCCUGGGGAAUACGGGCUCAAGUUUAAAAUUCAAUGGAAUUGACGCGACCGGGCACAAGCAGCGGAGCGUGUGGUUUAAUUCGAUGAUACUUGAAGAACCUUACCAGGGUUGGACAUCUAGGUGGUAGUGAAGGGAAAGCGGAGCGACCAUUCGGGGAGCCUAGACAGGUGUUGCAUGGUUGUCGUCAGUUAUUGCCGUGAGGCGUCGGUUUAAGUCCCGUAACGAGCGCAACCCUUGCCCUGAUUUAUACGUGUCAGAGGGGACUGCCGGCGGUAAGCCGGAGGAAGUAGGGGAUGAUGUCAAGUCAGCACCGCCUUUAUAUCCAGGGCUACUCACACGCUACAAUGGUCAGUACAAAGGGCAGCGAAGCCGUGAGGUGGAGCGAAUCCCAGCAAAAAUGGUAUUAUUUUCGAAUUCAGGGUGCAACCCUCCUGCAUGAAGCGGGAGAUGCUAGUAACCUCGCGUCUGCCAUAUGGCGGGGAAUACGUUCCCGGGGUCCGUACACACCCCCCGUCACGUCAUGGGAGUCGAUAACGCCCGAAGCCCGUGGCCUAGCUCGUAAGAGAGGGCGCUGUCUAAGGCGGGGUCGGUGACUUCGUUGAAGUCGUAACAAGGUAACCAAGGGCGAA